AGAGAGGGGGAGAUGCGAAGAUUGAAAGGGAUCUUUGCAAACACAAUCACGUUCUUAAAUGGAAAUGUGGGGCUUUAAACAAAUCUUACAUCUCUCCUGUUCCAGUCGUCUAAAACUCCGCAAUCAGGCACACGUUCGACUCCAUCUAAAACCACAGCUUUUUUUAGAAGAUUUUUUUGGCUUUUGCGAGGAAAGUGCCGGAGAAUUCAGGCGUCAAACCAAACGGCUUCUCUGUGGACUAAUGGAGCUGAAAGCUGAUGAUGAUGAUGAUCGAGAAAAUAUCAUGCAAACAUCAUUUGCCAUCAGUGAAAGCAGAUCUAGAGAUAAGAGGCUCAAAGGGGACUGAGCAACUCGCUUUCGACACAUCUGAGGAGUCCACUGAAAGAGCUAAUAACGGGAUCAAGGGUAUGCAUUUCCACCAUAUGAUAUCAAGAAAGCGCUUCCCCAACAGAUGUUUUGAGAUCAACACAAUAUACUUGCGAUGAACUUCAAUGUUUGUGUGUUUUUGAGGGUACAUCUAUAGUAUGACUCUGAAACAGUCAGUACAUUUCCAUCGACAACAAUGUUUUUGAUGCCAUGUGUUGUGAUGCCAUGAUUCAUUUAACACUUUGAUUAAGAAUUCAUUACGUAAACAGGGAUUUUUCAUUACCUUAAUCCAGUUCAGUUCAUACUUAGUUAAGUAAUCACGAGUCUAAUGGGAUGUUGAGUAUAGACCCUUUUCACAUUUACAGGUUUCUUAGUAGCGGAAGUCAUCAAAGUUGAGAGAACUUAGACCGCAAUGAAUGGGAGAAUACGACAAUUUUUUUU
This 807-nucleotide long non-coding RNA is filed under the name Danio rerio (zebrafish). RNAcentral describes it as "lncRNA si:dkey-248g17.3 (ENSDARG00000092272.4)". Lineage: Eukaryota; Metazoa; Chordata; Actinopteri; Cypriniformes; Danionidae. The record is from RNAcentral.